AGCUCGUGUUUCUCUUUAUUCACGCACAAAUCUUUCACCUUUUGCUAAAGAUUUCCGUGGAGGGGAAUGUUGACGAGUUCUUUUGGGGCA
Molecule: small nuclear RNA, 90 nt
Organism: Pygocentrus nattereri (red-bellied piranha)
Lineage: Eukaryota; Metazoa; Chordata; Actinopteri; Characiformes; Serrasalmidae
Gene: U5
Rfam family: U5 spliceosomal RNA
About the family: U5 RNA is a component of both types of known spliceosome. The precise function of this molecule is unknown, though it is known that the 5' loop is required for splice site selection and p220 binding, and that both the 3' stem-loop and the Sm site are important for Sm protein binding and cap methylation.
Source: Ensembl